CCUAACACAUGCAAGUCGAGCGGAUGAGAAGAGCUUGCUCUUCGAUUCAGCGGCGGACGGGUGAGUAAUGCCUAGGAAUCUGCCUGGUAGUGGGGGACAACGUUUCGAAAGGAACGCUAAUNCCGCAUACGUCCUACGGGAGAAAGCAGGGGACCUUCGGGCCUUGCGCUAUCAGAUGAGCCUAGGUCGGAUUAGCUAGUUGGUGAGGUAAUGGCUCACCAAGGCUACGAUCCGUAACUGGUCUGAGAGGAUGAUCAGUCACACUGGAACUGAGACACGGUCCAGACUCCUACGGGAGGCAGCAGUGGGGAAUAUUGGACAAUGGGCGAAAGCCUGAUCCAGCCAUGCCGCGUGUGUGAAGAAGGUCUUCGGAUUGUAAAGCACUUUAAGUUGGGAGGAAGGGCAGUAAGCUAAUACCUUGCUGUUUUGACGUUACCGACAGGGU
Molecule: ribosomal RNA, 445 nt
Filed under: uncultured bacterium
Lineage: Bacteria
Description: bacterial SSU rRNA
Rfam family: Bacterial small subunit ribosomal RNA
Source: RNAcentral